GUGGGUAGUUGGAGUUGGGUCACAUUUAAAAAAUAAUUAUUGUGUAGAAAAACAGUGCAGAUUCCCCAUUAAAUCAUAAGCAACAGGAACAAAAUAAGAUUGCACUAAAAGCCACUUGGGAAUGUUGGAAGGAUUGUAAUACCUUUAUCUGUAUUAUAUGGACAAGAAUUCAACUUAAGCCAACAGCACCUUGAAAGAGAGUCUAGUCAUGAGUUGAUUUCUUUAAUUACGAAAAAGUUGAAAAAAUGGACCAAGUCUUUAGGAAACAGCCCUCUUCUUCUCUUCCCCUCCUCCUCCCUACCUCCUCUGUGCAAAAUUAGACAGCUCCUUCAGUAUCCUUAGAGCUAAGUAGCUCAUUUUGAGAGUCAAGCUAUAUGUGGGAAAACAAACUACUAAAAACAAUCCUGGGCUAUUGGAGGGGGCUAGAGGAGAGCAGCUUUAAAGACCACACCGAUAUUGACUAUUUCUAAAACAACAGCAGCAGCAGUUUCCUUGAAGAAUAAAUAAUGUGGAACACGGCUGCCCCAGUUUAUGCUUUCCAUGGUAGACAAGUCGCCAGGAAUGCAUUUCUUUCUAUUGUACUAUGUUCAACACUUGUUCUCUGAGAGGUCAGCCUACUGGAAGGUAACAUACGGACCCACACCUGAGGGCUCAGCGGAGAAAAGGGGGCCGGCGGGAGGAGCAGAAAGGCAACAGUUCGUUCUUGAGACAAAGGGUUGGAAUCAAGGGAAAUCCACAAACAAGCAAACGAUCUCCAGCUCCUAAAUUUCCACAGGGACCAAAUUCCCCACAUUCUUCAUGAUAUCAAAGGUAGAUGAGGGUAUUCGUCUGCAAUUUGACAGAGCUAUCAGCUCACUAAGUCCCGUAGUAAGAGGUCAGUCAGAAACUCCUUCCUUUCUGCAGUCAGGAGCCGGACAGGACUUUGUUUCACUGGAGUGCCUACAAGCUCCUGUAAGGAAACUCUUCAAAGUAUUUCUUUCCUCCACCUCUUUCAUUACCGAUGCUGCCACUUACCAGGGAAAAAUGGGAGCACCCCCUGCCCCCCAAAGAAGCCAGUCCGCGGGCUCUUUUUCGUACUUCACUAUUCCCAGCUCGCUUCGCAGCGUCCCCUGCUCUAAAUUCAGCCUGGUUUGCAGAAUAUCACAGAGGAAAUUAGCGGGCGGUGAAGCUGCCAAUCCCCUCUCAAACACUCCCAAGCAGCAAAGAAAGCGUUCUCCCCGUUCUGAGAAAGUCCCGACUCCUGGCAAUGCGGAAGCAGUGUCAGUCUGCUGGAUGCAGCCCAAGGCUUGUAGUUUUGCCUGGAUGUAGCGUUGUUUAAGAGAAGGGGCUAUGUUUGAAGCAGUGUGUGUGUGUGUGUGUGUGUGUGUGUGUGUGUGUGUGUGUGUGUGUGUGUGUGUGUGUGUGUGUGUGUGCGCAUUGAAGAGAAAGAUUGGUGGGGAGGGGGGGAAAGGGUGUGUCUUGGGGGAGGAAUGCCUCCAAUGUCCAAAAAUAACAUUUAGGAAAGAGGGAGGGCCAUCCAUCUCCCCUCACUUUUCUCCCUUAUUGCAUAGAGGGAGGUUUUAUCUUUGUCCAGGGAUUUCAAUAUCCGAAGAAAAAGGUAAAAACUUUAAAAAAAAAUUUAAAAAGCCAAUUCCUCAGACGAUGUCUACAAAUCACUUUUCUUGUUCAGCGGGAGUUUUAAGCUUCUUAAAGGUGGGCCCUUCUUGAAAACCGAGCUUUUCAAGAUACUUUGGCCAAGUCCUAGUAUUCAUUAGGAGUGGAUUGCUUUUAAUCUACCUUUUGUACACCCGAAACACAUAAAAGUUAGGUUGGGAUGAGGCCUCCCACUUAUGUUCUCAUGAUUUGAGCUGUUACUGCCACUGCCACUGAUUCUCCUUAUUACAAAGCCACUACUACAAAUGGGACCUUCACCAUCUCUCUUCCCGCUCCACCCCCCACCUCCCUCGGCCCCACCCCCAGUUAAGUAAGUGCUAAGAAUAAAUCUGGCCUUUGUUCUGCA
Molecule: long non-coding RNA, 1999 nt
Filed under: Phascolarctos cinereus (koala)
Lineage: Eukaryota; Metazoa; Chordata; Mammalia; Diprotodontia; Phascolarctidae
Description: lncRNA (ENSPCIG00000023296.2)
Source: RNAcentral